UUCCGGUUGAUCCUGCCGGACCUGACUGCUAUCGGAUUGAUACUAAGCCAUGCGAGUCAUUGUAGCAAUACAAGGCAUACGGCUCAGUAACGCGUAGUCAACCUAACCUAUGGACGGGAAUAACCUCGGGAAACUGAGAAUAAUGCCCGAUAGAACAUUAUACCUGGAAUGGUUUAUGUUCCAAAUGAUUUAUCGCCGUAGGAUGGGACUGCGGCCUAUCAGUUUGUUGGUGAGGUAAUGGCCCACCAAGACUAUUACAGGUACGGGCUCUGAGAGGAGUAGCCCGGAGAUGGGUACUGAGACACGGACCCAGGCCCUAUGGGGCGCAGCAGGCGAGAAAACUUUGCAAUGUGCGAAAGCACGACAAGGUUAAUCCGAGUGAUUUCUGCUAAAGAAAUCUUUUGUUAGUCCUAGAAACACUAACGAAUAAGGGGUGGGCAAGUUCUGGUGUCAGCCGCCGCGGUAAAACCAGCACCUCAAGUGGUCAGGAUGAUUAUUGGGCCUAAAGCAUCCGUAGCCGGCUCUGUAAGUUUUCGGUUAAAUCUGUACGCUCAACGUACAGGCUGCCGGGAAUACUGCAUAGCUAGGGAGUGGGAGAAGUAGACGGUACUCGGUAGGAAGUGGUAAAAUGCUUUGAUCUAUCGAUGACCACCUGUGGCGAAGGCGGUCUACUAGAACACGUCCGACGGUGAGGGAUGAAAGCUGGGGGAGCAAACCGGAUUAGAUACCCGGGUAGUCCCAGCUGUAAACUAUGCAAACUCAGUGAUGCAUUGGCUUGUGGCCAAUGCAGUGCUGCAGGGAAGCCGUUAAGUUUGCCGCCUGGGAAGUACGUACGCAGGUAUGAAACUUAAAGGAAUUGGCGGGGGAGCACCACAAGGGGUGAAGCCUGCGGUUCAAUUGGAUUCAACGCCGGA
RNAcentral lists this ribosomal RNA (914 nucleotides) under uncultured archaeon. RNAcentral's name for it is "bacterial SSU rRNA". It matches the Rfam family "Archaeal small subunit ribosomal RNA", at positions 1 to 922 of the family's 1478-position model. The record is from RNAcentral.